UUUAUGGAGAGUUUGAUCCUGGCUCAGGAUGAACGCUGGCGGCGUGCCUAAUACAUGCAAGUCGAGCGAACGGACGAGAAGCUUGCUUCUCUGAUGUUAGCGGCGGACGGGUGAGUAACACGUGGAUAACCUACCUAUAAGACUGGGAUAACUUCGGGAAACCGGAGCUAAUACCGGAUAAUAUUUUGAACCGCAUGGUUCAAAAGUGAAAGACGGUCUUGCUGUCACUUAUAGAUGGAUCCGCGCUGCAUUAGCUAGUUGGUAAGGUAAUGGCUUACCAAGGCAACGAUGCAUAGCCGACCUGAGAGGGUGAUCGGCCACACUGGAACUGAGACACGGUCCAGACUCCUACGGGAGGCAGCAGUAGGGAAUCUUCCGCAAUGGGCGAAAGCCUGACGGAGCAACGCCGCGUGAGUGAUGAAGGUCUUCGGAUCGUAAAACUCUGUUAUUAGGGAAGAACAUAUGUGUAAGUAACUGUGCACAUCUUGACGGUACCUAAUCAGAAAGCCACGGCUAACUACGUGCCAGCAGCCGCGGUAAUACGUAGGUGGCAAGCGUUAUCCGGAAUUAUUGGGCGUAAAGCGCGCGUAGGCGGUUUUUUAAGUCUGAUGUGAAAGCCCACGGCUCAACCGUGGAGGGUCAUUGGAAACUGGAAAACUUGAGUGCAGAAGAGGAAAGUGGAAUUCCAUGUGUAGCGGUGAAAUGCGCAGAGAUAUGGAGGAACACCAGUGGCGAAGGCGACUUUCUGGUCUGUAACUGACGCUGAUGUGCGAAAGCGUGGGGAUCAAACAGGAUUAGAUACCCUGGUAGUCCACGCCGUAAACGAUGAGUGCUAAGUGUUAGGGGGUUUCCGCCCCUUAGUGCUGCAGCUAACGCAUUAAGCACUCCGCCUGGGGAGUACGACCGCAAGGUUGAAACUCAAAGGAAUUGACGGGGACCCGCACAAGCGGUGGAGCAUGUGGUUUAAUUCGAAGCAACGCGAAGAACCUUACCAAAUCUUGACAUCCUUUGACAACUCUAGAGAUAGAGCCUUCCCCUUCGGGGGACAAAGUGACAGGUGGUGCAUGGUUGUCGUCAGCUCGUGUCGUGAGAUGUUGGGUUAAGUCCCGCAACGAGCGCAACCCUUAAGCUUAGUUGCCAUCAUUAAGUUGGGCACUCUAAGUUGACUGCCGGUGACAAACCGGAGGAAGGUGGGGAUGACGUCAAAUCAUCAUGCCCCUUAUGAUUUGGGCUACACACGUGCUACAAUGGACAAUACAAAGGGCAGCGAAACCGCGAGGUCAAGCAAAUCCCAUAAAGUUGUUCUCAGUUCGGAUUGUAGUCUGCAACUCGACUACAUGAAGCUGGAAUCGCUAGUAAUCGUAGAUCAGCAUGCUACGGUGAAUACGUUCCCGGGUCUUGUACACACCGCCCGUCACACCACGAGAGUUUGUAACACCCGAAGCCGGUGGAGUAACCUUUUAGGAGCUAGCCGUCGAAGGUGGGACAAAUGAUUGGGGUGAAGUCGUAACAAGGUAGCCGUAUCGGAAGGUGCGGCUGGAUCACCUCCUUU
RNAcentral lists this ribosomal RNA (1552 nucleotides) under Staphylococcus aureus. Its description in RNAcentral is "16S ribosomal RNA". It matches the Rfam family "Bacterial small subunit ribosomal RNA". Lineage: Bacteria; Bacillati; Bacillota; Bacilli; Caryophanales; Staphylococcaceae. The record is from RNAcentral.